Molecule: long non-coding RNA, 2051 nt
Filed under: Homo sapiens (human)
Lineage: Eukaryota; Metazoa; Chordata; Mammalia; Primates; Hominidae
Description: HSALNT0114841
Source: RNAcentral
UUUAGAUCAUUUGCUCCAGAAGAAGCUGGUUGCCAUGUCUUGAGGACAGUAAACCCUCUGGGGAGGUUCCUGUGGUAAGGAACAAGGGCUCCUGGCAAUAGCCUCUGAGUGAGCCACCUUGAAAAUGGAUUGUCCAGCCCCAGUCAAGCUUUCAGAUGACUGUAGCUCCUGCCAAUGUCUUCACCACAACCUCAUGAGAUCCCAAGCUACAACCACUCAGUUAAGUUAUGCCAAAAUUCCUGAUUCACAGAAAUUGACAUACAGGAGAGGUCACAGUUAAGAUCUUGAUGUUCUAUCUUGACCCAUAAUAUAGGAACUUCAUCUUUUGGGAAGCACCAGGGAGAGCUGCCUGUGCCUGGCAGAAGCUGCCCAUGCCCCACUGAUACCCCACAGUACUUCCUGUUCUGCUUAGUACUCCUGCUUCUUUCUACAAACAACUGUGAUUCUCUACCUGGGAGCUUCCUCUGGCCACAGGAGCCUGCUCACCUGAUUGGGACACCCUAGCAGUACUGGUGAGUUAUAGCUUCCAGGAGCAGCUCUCUUCCAGCAAAGGAAAGGGUUGGCUGAACAGUACUUCAGCUGCCUCUGCUAGUGUGUGGGGCAAUGUUAAGACAUGCUCCACACAGUAAUGCAGGGGUCCCAGCAAGGUGGAGCCCCACUUGUCCACAGUAGUAACUUGCCAGUAGAUGCCUGCAUUGACUUUCUUCCCUGCUGUGCCUUUCUUUCCAUUCCCCUGCCAGUGCUUCCUGGAAUCAUCUCCCUCAUCAAUCAUUUGUUCCUAAAUUCUGUCUGAGUCUGUUUCUGAGGAAACCCAACCUGAGUCAUCGUCCCUCUUCUCCCCUCCUCACAUUCUCUUCACUGGGGGAGGAUGGAUUGAGUUGACUGGCAAAUUCGGGAGAAGGAGUUUGCAUCGGAGUGCGUGACUCAGCUGAGGCUGGGCUCUGUUUCUUCAGAAUGAAGUGCAUUCAGAUUCGAUGUGUAUCCUGUCUCUGGGAAGCCCCAUGCUCUGCUCAUCUUAGCAUGAUUACUAAGGUACACUCUGCCCUUGCAAGGGGAAGGCCCGAGAUUUGCUGCUGGCAGGCUCAGUGGGAGUUGGAUGUUUUAUGUAACCUGAUUGUGGAUAUAGAUCAAUUCAUGCUUUUCAAUUCAGUCCUCUCUCUAAUAAACUGCUGUCAUAAGCCCCAACAGGCUCAUAGAUGGAAGGGACUUGCCUUGUCGCUGAUGAGACUUUCGACUUGGACUUUUGAGUCAAUGCUGGAAUGAGUUAAGACUUUGGGGAACUGUUGGAAGGGUGUGAUUGUGUUUUGAAUUGUGAGGACAUGAGAUUUUGAAGAGGCUAAUGGCAGCGUCCCCACCUAAAUCUCUUCUUGAAUUGUAGUUCCCAUAAUCCCCACGUGUCGUGGGGUGGAGCCGGUGGAGAUAAUUGAAUCAUGGGAACACUUUCCCCCAUGCUGUUAUUGUGAUUGUGAAUUCUCACGAGAUCUGAUGGUUGUAUAAACGCCUUCCCUCUUCGCUGGGCACUCAUUUUUCUCCUUCCUGCCACCAUGUGAAGAAGGAUAUGCUUGCUUCUUGUGCCAUGAUUGUAAGUUUCCUGAGGCCUCCCCAGCCAUGCUGAACUGUGAGUCAAUUGAACCUCUUUCCUUUAUAAAUUACCUAGUCUUGGAUAUGUUUUUAUUAGCAGUGUGAGACAGGACUAAUACACAAAGGAUUUGAAAUCACAAAGGAGCUGUUUUCUGCUCCACCAUGGAAGUCUCACAUGCAUCACAUCUAUUCAUAUCCAUUUGCCACAACUAGACAAAAAGUCCUUUUUAAAAUCUGCCUAGAGAUCAGGAAGUAUUAUCUCUGGAUGCCUAGGCAGGAGAGGUGAAUCAGAUAUUGGUGGGCACUAGUGUGUUCUAUGAUACAUAGCUUAAUAAAAAUAAGUUUCAGAUAAAUCUAAAUAUACAUUAGAAUACUGUAACCACAGUAGAAAAAAAUAUUGGCUCCUUUUUGUGAUAAACUAAUGAUGGUAAAUGCACCCUAUUUAAGCAAGAAAAGAAACUGAUCUGCCA